UACAGAGGGGGCAAGCGUUAUUCGGAAUUAUUGGGCGUAAAGGGCGCGUAGGCGGCUUCGCAAGUGGUGGGUGAAAUCCCUCGGCUUAACCGAGGAACUGCCCUCCAAACUGCGUUGCUUGAGUCCGGGAGAGGUGAGUGGAAUUCCCAGUGUAGAGGUGAAAUUCGUAGAUAUUCGCAAGAACACCAGUGGCGAAGGCGGCUCACUGGCCCGGUACUGACGCUGAGGUGCGAAAGCCAGGGGAGCAAACGGG
This 253-nucleotide ribosomal RNA is filed under the name uncultured bacterium. RNAcentral describes it as "partial 16S ribosomal RNA". It matches the Rfam family "Bacterial small subunit ribosomal RNA", at positions 524 to 776 of the family's 1533-position model. The record is from RNAcentral.